UGGGAAGCUCCCUCAAGUUGCAGAAACCACGUCUUUGUUACUCAGAUAUGGAUUUGCAGUACUCAGCCCAGUGUCCUGCGUAUAAGAACCAGAGGGUCCUGUCACCUAUAGUUUCCCCUGCUAGUUCACCUUGGCUAUCCAGAGAAACUCGAGGAGGUGGAAGAAGCCUGGGCCUUAAUGUGGUGACCACAGGAACUCAGCACAGCCUGGGAUCUACAGCAUUGGCUCCCCUGCCUCUCAGGCCUCUCGACUUGGACUGAAUUAAACCACCAGCUUUCCUGGGUCUCCAACUUGCAGAUGGCAGAUUAUGGAACUUCUCAGCCUCCGUAAUCACAAGCCAAUUCUUCAUAAUAAAUCUGGAUGGAUAGAUAGAUAGAUAGAUCCUCUGGAGAAUUCUAAUAAAAAAGUUGUAUCAUAUAUCUACCCACAUAUUUAUUCAAAAUGACAUAUUGAGUGCCUGUAGCAUAGUGCUAAGUACCCA
Molecule: long non-coding RNA, 481 nt
Filed under: Equus caballus (horse)
Lineage: Eukaryota; Metazoa; Chordata; Mammalia; Perissodactyla; Equidae
Description: lncRNA (ENSECAG00000056408.1)
Source: RNAcentral